RNAcentral lists this long non-coding RNA (2147 nucleotides) under Homo sapiens (human). RNAcentral's name for it is "HSALNT0161741". Lineage: Eukaryota; Metazoa; Chordata; Mammalia; Primates; Hominidae. The record is from RNAcentral.
ACACUUGCUGCACACAGACCUCCCCUGCAGUGCAUCCCUUUGGGUCGCCCCGGGAGAGCCAGGGCUGCGGGCAGUUCCCACACCAACUCAGACCGCAUCUGUCCACUGCCUAGCGGGGCACCUCUCUGCCAAUCCCGAAGGGCUGCUCUCGCGUCCUCACGGGAAAGGUAGUUUCCAGGUUGGGCGCCAACAGCGCCAGGCUUUGAGCGUGGGCUCUGCGCAUGCCUCAUCCACUGGCUACCUCUGCGUUUCUGCGUUUCCGCCUUUCCUUUUGUUUGUCUCACGUUUUGCGUGGGAGGCGGUCCCGGGAUUUCAGGGGUCUACCGGCUCUCUUAUGGCGAAUGCAACCCGAAGAGAGAGUGAGCUGUAUCUUCAGAGUUGUCUCCGUCUUUCCAAGAACAGAACAAAAUGAACAAGGGUAUUGUGCUCACAAACCAGAGGUGAUCUUCAGGCUGGAACAAGGAGAAGAACCAUGGAGACUGGAGGAAGAAUUCCCAAGCCAGAGCUUUCCAGUCUGGACAGCUGAUCACCUGAAAGAGAGGAGCCAAGAAAAUCAAUCUAAACAUUUGUGGGAAGUUGUAUUCAUCAAUAAUGAAAUGCUGACUAAGGAACAAGGCCCCUGAGGUGUUCAUGCACUGAUCCUGGACCUUGGAUUAAACCCUUGCAGUGCUGGAAGAAGAGGACUCUGCACUGCCUGCCACACCAGGACUGGAAGAUCAAUGGCCUUCCCUUCUUCCAAACUACCUUCCCAUGAGGUGGGGAUGGUGGUCACAUCUCCAACACUGGCGUGCUGUGGAAGAGACAUCAGCAUUCUCUGCAACAAAUUUGGAAACAGCCUAAAGAGACGUUUCUACUUCAAAGAGAUGCACUGAGGAAGUGCACUGGCACUGCUGGGGACUCACCUGGGGCCCAGGGCUGAGGCUUCUCGUGUCCUUGGAGCUGCUGUCCUCCCGAGGAGCGUCCACACUGCAGCCAGCUCAGCCUCAGGUGUCCUAUCUGGUUUUGAAACCAAAUCUAAGUGGGAAAAGAAGAUUCAAGUUUUAUCCGAUUUAGUCUACAUAAUUUUAAGUAUCUAUUUGAGCUCAACACCAAGAAUCACUUCCUUCUCUGUCCCAUCUGUGGUCUCCAAAGGAAAGGUCCCUGGGUUAGGAGACACUGGCUAGCAUCCUAAAGCCAGAGCUGGCCGAUGGGUGUGUGUCCACUCUUCCUUCACCUCUUCCCCACCCUACAGUUGUUUUUGUCUCAUGCUCACUUGCUCUUUCUGCCUCCCUCUCACUCUUUAGGUCUCACAAAGGCUUUGGUCAAGGACUGACUGACUUUCCUUGGCUCUCUGUCAUCUCCCCAUAAUCAAAGGCAUUUCAUAACACACAAUCCAUGUGAAGGGACCUCUGAUCAAAAUUCACUUAAAGAGGAGCUCACUAAUUACCAGUACUUACUGCUGAGCCUGGAAUCAUUCGUAUAUACCCCAGAGUUCAUUCAUUCCAGACACAGUACUAGAUAAGGAGACUCCUAUGAGCCAAAAACCUAACUCUGAAUAGACUGUGACUGUCAUAAUCAAACCCUGUGGCUGCCUCCUUCUUACUGGAGGGCAUAGAGGAAUGCAGAUUUUUGUUUGUUUGUUUUGAGACAGAGUGUCGCUGCAAUGCCCAGGCUGAAGUACAAUGGUGCGGUCUCGGCUCACUGCAACCUCUGCCUCCCGGGUUCAAGCAAUUCUCCUGCCUUAGCCUCCUGAGUAGCUGGGAUUACAGGCAUGCACCAUCAUGCCCUGGCUAAUUUUUGUAUUUUGUGUAGAGACGGGGUUUCACCAUGUUGGCCAGGCUGGUCUUGAACUCCUGACCUUGGGUGAUCCACCUGCCUCGGCCUCCUAAAGUGCUGAGAUUACAGGCGUGAGCCACCAUGCUCAGCCAGGAAUGUGCUUUUAAUCAUUUCUUAGUGUUUCAUGUGGGGACUUGAUAACUCACAAUAAGGAUUCUAUCCUAAAAGACAAGCAAUACCUGUUGACCUGCUCUUAUGUCCCAGGCAGUUUGUAAAACUGUUUCAUCUAUUCUCUCAAUAUGUCACUUCAAAUAUGAUCAGGAAAGAAGUCUUAAACAUGGCUGGAAAUGUGGGGGCAACAAAUACAUUAGUGAACACCCUGGCGGAUCCAA